RNAcentral lists this ribosomal RNA (237 nucleotides) under uncultured bacterium. RNAcentral's name for it is "partial 16S ribosomal RNA". It matches the Rfam family "Bacterial small subunit ribosomal RNA", at positions 96 to 334 of the family's 1533-position model. The record is from RNAcentral.
CGGCGCACGGGUGAGUAACACGUAUCCAACCUGCCGAUAACUCGGGGAUAGCCUUUCGAAAGAAAGAUUAAUAUCCGAUAGUAUAUUAAAACCGCAUGGUUUUACUAUUAAAGAAUUUCGGUUAUCGAUGGGGAUGCGUUCCAUUAGUUUGUUGGCGGGGUAACGGCCCACCAAGACUACGAUGGAUAGGGGUUCUGAGAGGAAGGUCCCCCACAUUGGAACUGAGACACGGUCCAA